RNAcentral lists this ribosomal RNA (167 nucleotides) under Candidatus Faecivivens stercoravium. RNAcentral describes it as "partial 23S ribosomal RNA". It matches the Rfam family "Bacterial large subunit ribosomal RNA", at positions 2759 to 2925 of the family's 2925-position model. The record is from RNAcentral. Lineage: Bacteria; Bacillati; Bacillota; Clostridia; Eubacteriales; Oscillospiraceae.
ACGGAUAAACGCUGAAAGCAUCUAAGCGUGAAGCCGGCCUUAAGAUGAGAUAUCCCACUGGGUUAACCAGGUAAGACCCCUCAAAGACUAUGAGGUUGAUAGGCCUGAAGUGGAAGCGCCGUGAGGCGUGUAGCUUGUGGGUACUAAUCGGUCGAGGGCUUGACCAU